CUGAAUUUGACACCUUUUUUGGGUUAGGGUAUCUGUGAACCGACAGGGGUUUAUCGCAACCCAUUACUGAAGCAAUCAAUUGCAUAUACCUGUUUACUUGUCUAUCUUUUCCCCCAAACUGAGAGCUGUAUAAUAGCGGGGAUAGUGUCUGUCUAAUUUAUUAACCUUGAAAGGCUGCUGCUCUCCUGGUCCUUCGGCUGGACAGAGCAGACUUCUGUUGGGGCUUUUCUGGUCUGCAUCCAUUGAUGUUUCCAUGUCAAGGGCUUCUUUAGCUCCAAGUCUGGAAUACAUGACGCAAAAAGAAAACCCAGAGAACUCAUGAUUGUGUUGUUUCUUAGUUCCUGAGGUCCCCAGCUGGUCUGCCUUCUUCACUCCACCUUUCAGAGUCUUUUAAAGUUUGCUUUAUGUAUACAAUGUCAAGGUUUUUAUUUGUAUUUAGGAGAAAUAAGGAAACGUAUGUUUUCUUCAUCUUCCCUGAAGUGAAUGUUGUCCAUAUAUACUUUUAUAAAGGUUAAAACACUGGCUCUGAGUAAUCUGAAAAGGCUACAGACUUUAUGAUUUCAACUAUAUGGCAUUCUAGAAAACACAAAACUAUGGAAACAGUACAAAGAUCAGUGGUUUCUAGAGGCUGGGGGGAAGGUGGGAUGAAUAGGUGGAGCACAGGGAUUUUAGGCUGGGAAAACUAUUCUGUAUGAUAUGACAAUGGUGGAUACUUGCCAUUAUACACCUGUACAAACCCAUAAAAUGUACAAUACAAUGAGUGAACCCUAAUGUAAACUACAGACUUUGGGUAAUAAUGAUGUAUUUAUGUUGUUUCAUCAUUCUACCAAAUGUAACCCUGGUGGGGGACCUUGGGGUGGGGGUGGGCUGUGUGUGUGGUGGGGAAGAGCAUGGGGGAGCUC
RNAcentral lists this long non-coding RNA (902 nucleotides) under Homo sapiens (human). RNAcentral describes it as "HSALNT0007127". Lineage: Eukaryota; Metazoa; Chordata; Mammalia; Primates; Hominidae. The record is from RNAcentral.